This is a long non-coding RNA of Gossypium raimondii (Peruvian cotton), 1303 nucleotides long. RefSeq lists it as uncharacterized. The transcript is spliced from 3 exons. NCBI's taxonomy places the organism in Eukaryota, Viridiplantae, Streptophyta, Magnoliopsida, Malvales, Malvaceae. The record is from RefSeq and is a predicted model, not a curated record.
GAAUUAUCUAGAUUUCUCUUUAUUUUUCUGCACUCUCAUCAGCAAAAAAAAUGUCCUAAGGGUUUCUUCAAGCUGGGUUUUCAUAAUUUUUGCACCAAAUCCAGAAAAUUCAAAUACGAAGCAAGAUCGAGGAAAAGAAAAAGUUCGGGAUUAGUAGAUUUUUGUUUACGAACAAUUGUCGAGAGUUAAGAGCUCGGAGGUCGGAUUUGGUCGGAGACACAUCACACUAUCAAUCUCGAGAUCUCGGUACAUAAAGGAACUUUAUUUUGGAAAUCAAUGGCAUGUAUAAGCUAGUAAAUUAGAUGUUAAUGUGAAAUGAAUGUACGGUUAGCCAUUGGUAUGGCUAACAAAUUUUGGUUUUGGUAUGUGAUGAAAUUAUCUUAUGAAUAUGAUAAAUCUAUCUUAAAAAAAAUUCAGUAAAAUCUGGUAAUGCCUCAUACUCUAUUUCAGUGACGAAUACGGGUAGGGGGUAUUACAUUCCACCAUCUUCAUCCACUAACAUUUAAUUUAAAUUGGUUUAUUAACCAUUUAGUCCCUUGGAUAAUUACUAUCUAAGUCCCCAAUCCUUUUCCCAGUUAAAAUUUUAUAGCGAUUAAGCUUUUACAAUUUAGUUAUUGGGACUUAAUUAACCAUAUUUUUUACUAAAUGCUUAACCAAUUUUUUAUUCAUAAAUAUAAUAACUCUAUAAAUAUAUGUAAUUAUUAUUUACGGGCUCAGUUUACGAAAACUAUGUCCCAAAAUCAUAUGUUUUGACACCAUUGGAAACUGAGUCGUUACAAGAUGUAUGUCUAAUCCUUAGGUGGUUAACUUGCUCACCUAUGAUGAAGGUAAGUGCUGUAAAUUCCGUUUGAACUUAAUAAGUAUUAAAUUCUUAUGUAGCACCCCUUGCUUGACCCAACCCUCGGGUCCGAGCUACAGAGUGCUACACUCGCCGUUGGAGCAACCUCAGAUAAUUUUACAUCCUAUAGUUGUACACAUAUGCAAAUAAGUAUAUUAUCGCAUUCAUACUAUGCAAAAUAUUCGUUUCUGGGUCCCAUUUCGGGCAACGUCGUGACUUCAUAAUUUUAUUGUCGCGAAAUUUUCAACUGAGUUACGUCGUGAUGAUAUGUAUAUCUACGUCGUGACAUCACUCAUUGUCAGACAAUGUUGGGACGUCAGGGACUCAUGGUCGGACGUUGCCCCUGUUUUUGGCAAAAUGUAUAUUUGGUACCUAAUUCAAGUGUUUCCAAUCACAACAUAUUAUCAUAACCAUUCAUAUGUCAAUUCCUCCUAUGCCAAAAUAAUACAAUUUAAGCUAAAAUAA